This 510-nucleotide ribosomal RNA is filed under the name uncultured bacterium. Its description in RNAcentral is "partial 16S ribosomal RNA". It matches the Rfam family "Bacterial small subunit ribosomal RNA", at positions 28 to 507 of the family's 1533-position model. The record is from RNAcentral.
GACGAACGCUGGCGGCGUGCUUAACACAUGCAAGUCGAACGAAGAGCGAUGGAAGCUUGCUUCUAUCAAUCUUAGUGGCGAACGGGUGAGUAACGCGUAAUCAACCUGCCCUUCAGAGGGGGGCAACAGUUGGAAACGACUGCUAAUGCCGCAUACGAUCUGACCUCGGCAUCGAGGAUAGAUGAAAGGUGGCCUCUAUUUAUAAGCUAUCACUGAAGGAGGGGAUUGCGUCUGAUUAGCUAGUUGGAGGGGUAACGGCCCACCAAGGCGAUGAUCAGUAGCCGGUCUGAGAGGAUGAGCGGCCACAUUGGGACUGAGACACGGCCCAGACUCCUACGGGAGGCAGCAGUGGGGAAUCUUCCGCAAUGGACGAAAGUCUGACGGAGCAACGCCGCGUGAGUGAUGACGGCCUUCGGGUUGUAAAGCUCUGUUAAUCGGGACGAAAGGCCUUCUUGCGAAUAGUUAGAAGGAUUGACGGUACCGGAAUAGAAAGCCACGGCUAACUACGUG